UUAAUAAUCAGCAUGAGGAGUUCAAACCCCAGGAAAACAGUUCAACAGAAGGUUGAACCACUAGAUUUCAUGUGUGUUAAAAAAAAAAGUGAUAGAGUACAUCUGGGCUUUUCUCUAGAUUAUACAUUGAAGGUACAUAAACAGGAAUUCCUUGAUUAUACAUCAAACAAGUUCAGAGCUGCUGAUGUUAUCUCCCUGUGGAGGGAGGCCAGGACCGGGGUCGUUAAUUAUUCUCUCAAUCUCUAAGAAACGCAGCUACCCCUUUAUCUUUUCCUGCUGUGGAUCUGCCGGGCUGCUGUCUUCUGUCAGGAGAUGUGGGGUCGCAAGGUCGUUUGACGCAGGCUGAGCACGGCCUGCGCGGCUGCUCCGCAGGACAGCGCGGAUUUCAUUGUGCUGACUGACAGCCCGUGCAGUUUGCUUGCUAGAUUUGCCUGUUGGACCCCGGAAAAGGGCCCCGAAAAUCUGUCCACCAAUCGCCAACUAAUUUCUGAAUAUAAAGAAGAAAAGAGACUAAAAAUUUUUCUCCAAACAGCAAUCCAGGUGUCGCUUCUGAUAGGAACUUCAAAUUACCAUGCACAACUCUGUAGAGAUCAUCCAGGACACUCAUCUCAUAUGAUGAAUGAGACAUCUCAGAUGACAUGAGAUGGAUAUAGUAGCAAAGAAAGAGACUCUUCCUCCUUCCAUACUGAGGUUUCCCCCGUUAUCUCAAUGUGCACUAUAAAAACCAUAAAUCAGCGUCCAUUCUUUAACCACCAAAAUAAAAAUAUUCAAGAUAAAGCUAUUGUGAGAGGAAUCCUCUUUCCAAAAGUCAAUUAUUUUGGUGCAACCUUCAGCAUAUAUUAGAUGAAUGCGAAGAAGUCCAUGGUGAAAGAAACUUCCUUUUUCUCCCAUCACAUUUCUCUCUACCCAUAGACAAGAACUUCUGUCUUCUCACUAAUAUUUAAUAAAAACACUGCCAACUACUCACCUUGAACCAGCUCAUUCCUGGAGCCAAGAGGAGUGACUUAUUUGGUGGAUAAUAAUAGCCUUCCAUUCAUUGGCCUACAUUUCCCUGUCAGUGAGGUUAAUAAGUUAAUGGGUAUAAAGGCAUGGUCUCCCUUUCUCUCCUGGACUCUGCGCAGGAGGGGUGUAAAGCCGGUGAAGACUCUCCAUGCACUGGCUGGGUUGGAUUCUGUGAACCAACCUUCUCUGUAUUCAGGCUCCAAAGUCAAGACCUGGAGAAAGUAUUAGAAAAGUCAUUUUUGGUCAUAGGGUCAAGCGAUGUUUUCCAAAUCAGCUUUGUUGUUGUUAGUGCCAUUGAUUCAAUUCUGACUCCCAGCAGCCCAGUGUAUAGCAGAGCUGAACCCUGCCAGGUGUUUUUGCACCAUUCUCUCACCU
Long non-coding RNA from Equus caballus (horse), 1377 nucleotides. RefSeq lists it as uncharacterized. Lineage: Eukaryota; Metazoa; Chordata; Mammalia; Perissodactyla; Equidae. The record is from RefSeq and is a predicted model, not a curated record.